Non-coding RNA from Pelobates cultripes (western spadefoot toad), 207 nucleotides. The record is from the annotation of a GenBank genome assembly. Lineage: Eukaryota; Metazoa; Chordata; Amphibia; Anura; Pelobatidae.
CUAUACACCAAAACUGUUUAGAUAACCUAAAGUUGUUUUGGUGACUAUAGUGUCCCUCUAAUCCAUAAUUAAUAAACUGAGCUUUUUUAUUUUUCUAUUUUAGCUUAACAUGUGCAGUUGCCUUGGUAAUUCUCAACAAUUCCUGGUUAAAUAAAAAAACCUGAGCUAAACUAAUGUGUAAAGCAAUAUUGACACAUUGUUUGAAAU